GGUAGUCCACGCCGUAAACGAUGUCGACUUGGAGGUUGUGCCCUUGAGGCGUGGCUUCCGGAGCUAACGCGUUAAGUCGACCGCCUGGGGAGUACGGCCGCAAGGUUAAAACUCAAAUGAAUUGACGGGGGCCCGCACAAGCGGUGGAGCAUGUGGUUUAAUUCGAUGCAACGCGAAGAACCUUACCUACUCUUGACAUCCAGAGAACUUAGCAGAGAUGCUUUGGUGCCUUCGGGAACUCUGAGACAGGUGCUGCAUGGCUGCCGUCAGCUCGUGUUGUGAAAUGUUGGGUUAAGUCCCGCAACGAGCGCAACCCUUAUCCUUUGUUGCCAGCGGUUAGGCCGGGAACUCAAAGGAGACUGCCAGUGAUAAACUGGAGGAAGGUGGGGAUGACGUCAAGUCAUCAUGGCCCUUACGAGUAGGGCUACACACGUGCUACAAUGGCGCAUACAAAGAGAAGCGACCUCGCGAGAGCAAGCGGACCUCAUAAGGUGCGUCGUAGUCCGGAUUGGAGUCUGCAACUCGACUCCAUGAAGUCGGAAUCGCUAGUAAUCGUAGAUCAGAAUGCUACGGUGAAUACGUUCCCGGGCCUUGUACACACCGCCCGUCACACCAUGGGAGUGGGUUGCAAAAGAAGUAGGUAGCUUAACCUUCGGGAGGGCGCUUACCACUUUGUGAUUCAUGACUGGGGUGAAGUCGUAACAAGGUAACCGUAGGGGAACCUGC
RNAcentral lists this ribosomal RNA (726 nucleotides) under uncultured bacterium. Its description in RNAcentral is "bacterial SSU rRNA". It matches the Rfam family "Bacterial small subunit ribosomal RNA", at positions 789 to 1515 of the family's 1533-position model. The record is from RNAcentral.